RNAcentral lists this ribosomal RNA (496 nucleotides) under uncultured bacterium. RNAcentral describes it as "partial 16S ribosomal RNA". It matches the Rfam family "Bacterial small subunit ribosomal RNA", at positions 28 to 507 of the family's 1533-position model. The record is from RNAcentral.
GAUGAACGCUGGCGGCGUGCCUAAUACAUGCAAGUCGAGCGAACAGACGAGGAGCUUGCUCCUCUGACGUUAGCGGCGACGGGUGAGUAACACGUGGAUAACCUACCUAUAAGACUGGGAUAACUUCGGGAAACCGGAGCUAAUACCGGAUAAUCUAUUGAACCGCAUGGUUCAAUAGUGAAAGACGGUUUUGCUGUCACUUAUAGAUGGAUCCGCGCCGCAUUAGCUAGUUGGUAAGGUAACGGCUUACCAAGGCAACGAUGCGUAGCCGACCUGAGAGGGUGAUCGGCCACACUGGAACUGAGACACGGUCCAGACUCCUACGGGAGGCAGCAGUAGGGAAUCUUCCGCAAUGGGCGAAAGCUUGACGGAGCAACGCCGCGUGAGUGAUGAAGGUCUUCGGAUCGUAAAACUCUGUUAUUAGGGAAGAACAAAUGUGUAAGUAACUAUGCACGUCUUGACGGUACCUAAUCAGAAAGCCACGGCUAACUACGUG